Molecule: ribosomal RNA, 253 nt
Filed under: uncultured bacterium
Lineage: Bacteria
Description: partial 16S ribosomal RNA
Rfam family: Bacterial small subunit ribosomal RNA
Source: RNAcentral
UACAGAGGCCUCGAGCGUUAGGCGGAAUCACUGGGCUUAAAGCGUGUGUAGGCGGACUUCUAAGUACCUUGUGAAAUCCCACGGCUCACCCGUGGAACUGCUUGGUAUACUGGUUGUCUUGAGCGUUCUAGGGGCGAGUGGAACAAAUGGUGGAGCGGUGAAAUGCGUAGAUAUCAUUUGGAACGCCAAUGGUGAAAACAACUCGCUGGGGAAGUGCUGACGCUGAGACACGAAAGCCAGGGGAGCGAACGGG